This 473-nucleotide ribosomal RNA is filed under the name uncultured bacterium. Its description in RNAcentral is "bacterial SSU rRNA". It matches the Rfam family "Bacterial small subunit ribosomal RNA", at positions 355 to 825 of the family's 1533-position model. The record is from RNAcentral.
UCGGGAAUUUUGGGCAAUGGGCGAAAGCCUGAUCCAGCAAUGCCGCGUGCAGGAAGAAGGCCUUCGGGUUGUAAACUGCUUUUGUACGGAACGAAAAGGCUCUUUCUAAUAAAGAGGGCCCAUGACGGUACCGUAAGAAUAAGCACCGGCUAACUACGUGCCAGCAGCCGCGGUAAUACGUAGGGUGCGAGCGUUAAUCGGAAUUACUGGGCGUAAAGCGUGCGCAGGCGGUUCUAUAAGACAGAUGUGAAAUCCCCGGGCUCAACCUGGGAAUGGCAUUUGUGACUGUAGAGCUAGAGUACGGUAGAGGGGGGAUGGAAUUCCGCGUGUAGCAGUGAAAUGCGUAGAUAUGCGGAGGAACACCGAUGGCGAAGGCAAUCCCCUGGACCUGUACUGACGCUCAUGCACGAAAGCGUGGGGAGCAAACAGGAUUAGAUACCCAGGUAGUCCCUGAGCGGGCUGGCAAGGCGCAU